This 280-nucleotide ribosomal RNA is filed under the name Roseburia inulinivorans DSM 16841. RNAcentral's name for it is "partial 16S ribosomal RNA". It matches the Rfam family "Bacterial small subunit ribosomal RNA", at positions 524 to 803 of the family's 1533-position model. The record is from RNAcentral. Lineage: Bacteria; Bacillati; Bacillota; Clostridia; Lachnospirales; Lachnospiraceae.
UACGUAUGGUGCAAGCGUUAUCCGGAUUUACUGGGUGUAAAGGGAGCGCAGGCGGAAGGCUAAGUCUGAUGUGAAAGCCCGGGGCUCAACCCCGGUACUGCAUUGGAAACUGGUCAUCUAGAGUGUCGGAGGGGUAAGUGGAAUUCCUAGUGUAGCGGUGAAAUGCGUAGAUAUUAGGAGGAACACCAGUGGCGAAGGCGGCUUACUGGACGAUAACUGACGCUGAGGCUCGAAAGCGUGGGGAGCAAACAGGAUUAGAUACCCUGGUAGCUGACUGACU